UACAGAGGGUGCGAGCGUUGUUCGGAAUUAUUGGGCGUAAAGAGCUUGUAGGCGGUUUGUCGCGUCUGCUGUGAAAUUUCGGGGCUCAACCCCGAACUUGCAGUGGGUACGGGCAGACUAGAGUGUGGUAGGGGAGACUGGAAUUCCUGGUGUAGCGGUGAAAUGCGCAGAUAUCAGGAGGAACACCGGUGGCGAAGGCGGGUCUCUGGGCCGAUACUGACGCUGAGGAGCGAAAGCGUGGGGAGCGAACAGG
RNAcentral lists this ribosomal RNA (253 nucleotides) under uncultured bacterium. Its description in RNAcentral is "partial 16S ribosomal RNA". It matches the Rfam family "Bacterial small subunit ribosomal RNA", at positions 524 to 776 of the family's 1533-position model. The record is from RNAcentral.